This 448-nucleotide unclassified non-coding RNA is filed under the name Bombus terrestris (buff-tailed bumblebee). RNAcentral describes it as "misc RNA ENSBTSG00005020557.1". Lineage: Eukaryota; Metazoa; Arthropoda; Insecta; Hymenoptera; Apidae. The record is from RNAcentral.
CGAUCAGUAUUAACGGUUUCGCCGGGUUUUAACAGCUCAUGAUAGAUCACACCCUUCUGAUCCCACCAAACACAGAGCAUCGUCUUCCGUCCAUAGCGAUUUGGUCUUGCAGUCGAUGUCGGUGGACUCUCAAAAUAUAUCCACUUUUCAUCGCCAGUCACAAUUCGGUGGAGAAAUGACUUUCUUUUGUAUCUGGCGAGCAGCAUUUCGCAAGUGGUUUUUCGGUUUUCCCGCUGUCUUUCAUUCGGUUCACGUGGAACCCAUUUUCCCACCUUCUGCAUCUUCCCAUGGCUUUCGAACGUACGGAGACGGCUUCUCGCGUCACGUUUAAUUGAUCAGCGAGUCGUUGUUGCGUUUGAGCGUCAUCCUCGUCCAGCGAUGCUUGCAAUUCGCUGUCUCGAAACUUUUUCGGUGGUCUUGCACGUUCUUCGUUCCUCGCGUCAAAAUU